CCUACGGGGAGCAGCAGUGGGGAAUAUUGGACAAUGGGGGGAACCCUGAUCCAGCCAUGCCGCGUGUGUGAAGAAGGCCCUCGGGUUGUAAAGCACUUUCAGUGAGGAAGAACGCCUGGUGGUUAAUACCCAUCAGGAAAGACAUCACUCACAGAAGAAGCACCGGCUAACUCCGUGCCAGCAGCCGCGGUAAUACGGAGGGUGCGAGCGUUAAUCGGAAUUACUGGGCGUAAAGCGCGCGUAGGUGGCUUGAUAAGCCGGUUGUGAAAGCCCCGGGCUCAACCUGGGAACGGCAUCCGGAACUGUCAAGCUAGAGUGCAGGAGAGGAAGGUAGAAUUCCCGGUGUAGCGGUGAAAUGCGUAGAGAUCGGGAGGAAUACCAGUGGCGAAGGCGGCCUUCUGGACUGACACUGACACUGAGGUGCGAAAGCGUGGGUAGCAAACAGGAUUAGAUACCCGAGUAGUC
Molecule: ribosomal RNA, 465 nt
Filed under: Vreelandella stevensii
Lineage: Bacteria; Pseudomonadati; Pseudomonadota; Gammaproteobacteria; Oceanospirillales; Halomonadaceae
Description: partial 16S ribosomal RNA
Rfam family: Bacterial small subunit ribosomal RNA
Source: RNAcentral